This 447-nucleotide ribosomal RNA is filed under the name uncultured bacterium. RNAcentral's name for it is "bacterial SSU rRNA". It matches the Rfam family "Bacterial small subunit ribosomal RNA", at positions 355 to 825 of the family's 1533-position model. The record is from RNAcentral.
UCGGGAAUUUUGGGCAAUGGGGGAAACCCUGACCCAGCAACGCCGCGUGAAGGAUGAAGUAUUUCGGUAUGUAAACUUCGAAAGAAUAGGAAGAAUAAAUGACGGUACUAUUUAUAAGGUCCGGCUAACUACGUGCCAGCAGCCGCGGUAAUACGUAGGGUGCAAGCGUUAAUCGGAAUUACUGGGCGUAAAGCGUGCGCAGGCGGUUGUGUAAGUCAGAUGUGAAAUCCCCGGGCUCAACCUGGGAAUUGCAUUUGAGACUGCACGGCUAGAGUGUGUCAGAGGGGGGUAGAAUUCCACGUGCAGCAGUGAAAUGCGUAGAUAUGUGGAGGAAUACCGAUGGCGAAGGCAGCCCCCUGGGAUAACACUGACGCUCAUGCACGAAAGCGUGGGGAGCAAACAGGAUUAGAUACCCUAGUAGUCCCUGAGCGGGCUGGCAAGGCGCAU